UCUGAUGUUAGCGGCGGACGGGUGAGUAACACGUGGAUAACCUACCUAUAAGACUGGGAUAACUUCGGGAAACCGGAGCUAAUACCGGAUAAUAUUUUGAACCGCAUGGUUCAAAAGUGAAAGACGGUCUUGCUGUCACUUAUAGAUGGAUCCGCGCUGCAUUAGCUAGUUGGUAAGGUAACGGCUUACCAAGGCAACGAUGCAUAGCCGACCUGAGAGGGUGAUCGGCCACACUGGAACUGAGACACGGUCCAGACUCCUACGGGAGGCAGCAGUAGGGAAUCUUCCGCAAUGGGCGAAAGCCUGACGGAGCAACGCCGCGUGAGUGAUGAAGGUCUUCGGAUCGUAAAACUCUGUUAUUAGGGAAGAACAUAUGUGUAAGUAACUGUGCACAUCUUGACGGUACCUAAUCAGAAAGCCACGGCUAACUACGUGCCAGCAGCCGCGGUAAUACGUAGGUGGCAAGCGUUAUCCGGAAUUAUUGGGCGUAAAGCGCGCGUAGGCGGUUUUUUAAGUCUGAUGUGAAAGC
Molecule: ribosomal RNA, 529 nt
Filed under: Staphylococcus aureus
Lineage: Bacteria; Bacillati; Bacillota; Bacilli; Caryophanales; Staphylococcaceae
Description: bacterial SSU rRNA
Rfam family: Bacterial small subunit ribosomal RNA
Source: RNAcentral